RNAcentral lists this long non-coding RNA (487 nucleotides) under Homo sapiens (human). Its description in RNAcentral is "non-protein coding lnc-ZC3H12B-1:5". Lineage: Eukaryota; Metazoa; Chordata; Mammalia; Primates; Hominidae. The record is from RNAcentral.
AGAAGAGGCGCCCGGAAAACCUUAGCUCUUGGCUAUCUCUUCCCUGAGCACACCCUGGCCCUGGGGCCUGAGAUCUCUCCAUGCAGGGGCAGCCAUGAGCUCCGGGGGCAGCAGCAAGGCUGGCCACACCACCCAUCAGCCACCUCCAGCCCCGCCGCUCAACCAGCCAUCAGUCCCUUAACUGCCAGUGUUCGUGGACCAUGCAAAACAACCAAGCAAGGGACUCAUUAAGCCCAAAGCAAUUUUAGGGUGCCCAGUGGAGAGACUCACAGAGGCUGCUAGUGCCGAUGCUGCUGGUGCUGCUGCUGAGGAGUGCCCAGGACCAGGUGCCAGGGGAGUUGGAGUCAAUAACCACCACUGUCAGAUCUACUGACCCCCAAGCCAGUUUCUCCAGUCAGAUCUACACAGCUAAAUGAGAAGCGGAACUGGGAAUCUUUUUUGCAAACAAAACUCUGGCCCAUUAAGAACUCUCUGCUGCCUUGUGAAG